This is a long non-coding RNA of Wasmannia auropunctata (little fire ant), 310 nucleotides long. RefSeq lists it as uncharacterized. NCBI's taxonomy places the organism in Eukaryota, Metazoa, Arthropoda, Insecta, Hymenoptera, Formicidae. The transcript has 3 exons. The record is from RefSeq and is a predicted model, not a curated record.
UCCCUUCUACUUCUUCUACAUCGAUGACGAGUUGUAAACAUAACCUCAUACGUUUGAAAAAUAACUGUAACAAAUAUUGAACGUAAUUUUUCCUUGAGCCAAACUUGCUCUUCCAACUAUAUGUUAGACAGCAUGAUGAUAUGACUGUGGUAUAAACUGGUUAUGGUAUAGAACUUAUUAAUAAAUUACACUAUCUGGAAAUAUAAAGGAGAUGUUUACUUAAUCGGAUGUACAAACGUUGGUAAAUCUUCUCUGUUCAACGCUCUUCUGCAGUCUGAUUAUUGCAAGGUACAAGCUGUGGAUCUUAUAC